AUUGAACGCUGGCGGCAGGCCUAACACAUGCAAGUCGAGCGGAUGAAGGGAGCUUGCUCCUGGAUUCAGCGGCGGACGGGUGAGUAAUGCCUAGGAAUCUGCCUGGUAGUGGGGGAUAACGUCCGGAAACGGGCGCUAAUACCGCAUACGUCCUGAGGGAGAAAGUGGGGGAUCUUCGGACCUCACGCUAUCAGAUGAGCCUAGGUCGGAUUAGCUAGUUGGUGGGGUAAAGGCCUACCAAGGCGACGAUCCGUAACUGGGCUGAGAGGAUGAUCAGUCACACUGGAACUGAGACACGGUCCAGACUCCUACGGGAGGCAGCAGUGGGGAAUAUUGGACAAUGGGCGAAAGCCUGAUCCAGCCAUGCCGCGUGUGUGAAGAAGGUCUUCGGAUUGUAAAGCACUUUAAGUUGGGAGGAAGGGAAGUAAGUUAAUACCUUGCUGUUUUGACGGUACCAACAGAAUAAGCACCGGCUAACUUCGUG
Molecule: ribosomal RNA, 484 nt
Filed under: uncultured bacterium
Lineage: Bacteria
Description: partial 16S ribosomal RNA
Rfam family: Bacterial small subunit ribosomal RNA
Source: RNAcentral